GAUGAACGCUGGCGGCGUGCCUAAUACAUGCAAGUCGAGCGAACAGAUAAGGAGCUUGCUCCUUUGACGUUAGCGGCGGACGGGUGAGUAACACGUGGGUAACCUACCUAUAAGACUGGGAUAACUUCGGGAAACCGGAGCUAAUACCGGAUAAUAUUUCGAACCGCAUGGUUCGAUAGUGAAAGAUGGUUUUGCUAUCACUUAUAGAUGGACCCGCGCCGUAUUAGCUAGUUGGUAAGGUAACGGCUUACCAAGGCGACGAUACGUAGCCGACCUGAGAGGGUGUUCGGCCACACUGGAACUGAGACACGGUCCAGACUCCUACGGGAGGCAGCAGUAGGGAAUCUUCCGCAAUGGGCGAAAGCCUGACGGAGCAACGCCGCGUGAGUGAUGAAGGUCUUCGGAUCGUAAAACUCUGUUAUUAGGGAAGAACAUACGUGUAAGUAACUGUGCACGUCUUGACGGUACCUAAUCAGAAAGCCACGGCUAACUACGU
This 496-nucleotide ribosomal RNA is filed under the name uncultured bacterium. Its description in RNAcentral is "partial 16S ribosomal RNA". It matches the Rfam family "Bacterial small subunit ribosomal RNA", at positions 28 to 506 of the family's 1533-position model. The record is from RNAcentral.